AGAAAAUCCCCUUAUCUCUAGUUUCACCGAGCUCUUUCCAGAGAGCGCGAGAGCAUCCCAAAUCCCUAGCCGCCGCCGCUGGUGUACCCCAAAUCCCUCGCCGCCGGCUGCACCUCCUCAAAUCCUAGCCUCCCCGAACCUCUCACCCGCCCCUGCGCUCUAUUCCUCGGCUCGCCAACCACUGAACCGCAGCCUCAGCAUCGAACGUCGUCGUCCUCGUCUAAGCCGCCGCCGUCGCCGUCCUCGUCCCAGCCGUGGUCGUCGCCGUCCAAGUCACAGCCGCCGCCGUCUCCGUCCAAGUCCCAGCCGCUGCCGCCGCCGUCUUCGUCCAAGUCCCAGCCGUCGCCGUCCUCGUCCAAGCCGCCGCCACCGCCGUCCUCGUCCCAGUCGCCUUUGUCACCGUCCCGCCACCGCAGCUCCAUCGUCCUCCAACCGCCGUCCAUUCCCCAUCAAGUCAUCUCGUCCUCUGCCUAGUUCAGGAAGUGGUGAGGCUCGCUUGGAUCCAGCACAGGGCGUUUCCACUCUACUGGCUGGCUAUUAACUCAGCUUAGAUCUUGGAUCUGCUAGAGGACUUUGGGAGUUUGUUAGCCAGCUUGGUGACUCCACACUUUUUCACUAUUUCAGCAAGCCUUUGCUAGAGAAAAGAAAUUGAGGCCGUCAACUUCAGCAGCACAUCGACGAACUGUUCAAGAAAUUGAAGAGCUGAAGCGACAUAAUGAGAACCUGCAGCGACAUAAUGAGAACCUGCAACAUAAAGUGGAUAUGCAUGAACGGAUCCUAGUGGCCCUUUUUAAGGAGAUGGGAAUAGAACUACCAACGGAGCUACACCAAGGAGCGAGUUCCCAACCACAUGGGACACCUAAUUCAUCUCAUAUGAGACCACAAGCCGCCGAUGACAACACUGGUGAUGAUGAUCUAGGUGCAAAUGGUGGUGCUGACAACUCCAGUAGGAAUACUAGUGAGAACAACGUUAGUGCUGGUGGUGGCGACACUAGUUCCAACAUUCGUGAAACUGAGACCUAGAAUCAUAGAUGGUGGUUGUAACCUUGGUAGUGCCUUUUGUUGACUUGGAGCCAGACUUUAGAACUAAUGUUGGUGUUGGCAACAAAGCAGCAUUUUGCUAGUUGCAAGACUUUAGAACUAAAGGUGGUGUUUGCAACAAGGUAGCAUUUUGGUAGUUGCAAGACUUUAGAUGAACUGUGAUGUACUUUGCUUGUAAUGCUUUGGAUAUGCAAAACUGAUGGUUAUCCUUGUAAGCUGAGAACUGUUAUGUAGAUUGUUUCUGAAGCUUUGGAUGUGCAAAA
Long non-coding RNA from Triticum dicoccoides, 1304 nucleotides. RefSeq lists it as uncharacterized. The transcript has 6 exons. The record is from RefSeq and is a predicted model, not a curated record. NCBI's taxonomy places the organism in Eukaryota, Viridiplantae, Streptophyta, Magnoliopsida, Poales, Poaceae.